Molecule: ribosomal RNA, 253 nt
Filed under: uncultured bacterium
Lineage: Bacteria
Description: partial 16S ribosomal RNA
Rfam family: Bacterial small subunit ribosomal RNA
Source: RNAcentral
UACAGAGGGGGCGAGCGUUGUUCGGAAUUACUGGGCGUAAAGGGCGCGUAGGCGGCCUUCUAAGUCGAACGUGAAAUCCCCGGGCUCAACCCGGGAACUGCGUCCGAUACUGGGAGGCUUGAAUCCGGGAGAGGGGUGUGGAAUUCCAGGUGUAGCGGUGAAAUGCGUAGAUAUCUGGAGGAACACCGGUGGCGAAGGCGGCAUCCUGGACCGGUAUUGACGCUGAGGCGCGAAAGCCAGGGGAGCAAACGGG